RNAcentral lists this transfer RNA (80 nucleotides) under Micromonas pusilla CCMP1545. It matches the Rfam family "tRNA". Rfam says of the family: Transfer RNA (tRNA) molecules are approximately 80 nucleotides in length. Their secondary structure includes four short double-helical elements and three loops (D, anti-codon, and T loops). The record is from Rfam by way of RNAcentral. Lineage: Eukaryota; Viridiplantae; Chlorophyta; Mamiellophyceae; Mamiellales; Mamiellaceae.
GUCUUAGUGGUGGAAUGGUAGACACGCUAGUCUUAGGAACUAGUGCUAUACGCGUGGAGGUUCGAGUCCUCUCUAAGACA